RNAcentral lists this ribosomal RNA (1706 nucleotides) under Janthinobacterium sp. HH102. Its description in RNAcentral is "bacterial LSU rRNA". It matches the Rfam family "Bacterial large subunit ribosomal RNA", at positions 1223 to 2925 of the family's 2925-position model. The record is from RNAcentral. Lineage: Bacteria; Pseudomonadati; Pseudomonadota; Betaproteobacteria; Burkholderiales; Oxalobacteraceae.
AUAUGGUAGGAGAGCGUUCUGUAAGCCUGCGAAGGUGUCUUGUAAAGGAUGCUGGAGGUAUCAGAAGUGCGAAUGCUGACAUGAGUAGCGAUAAUGGGGGUGAAAAGCCUCCACGCCGUAAGCCCAAGGUUUCCUGUUCAACGUUCAUCGGAGCAGGGUGAGUCGGCCCCUAAGGCGAGGCAGAGAUGCGUAGCUGAUGGGAAGCAGGUUAAUAUUCCUGCACCGUCGUAUGAUGCGAUGGGGGGACGGAUCGCGGAAGGUUGUCUGACUGUUGGAAUAGUCAGUUUCUGUCUCAUAGAAGGCGCUUAGGCAAAUCCGGGCGCAGGAUUCAAGGGGAUGGGACGAGUGAACUUGUUCACGAAGCAAUCGGAAGUGGUUCCAAGAAAAGCCUCUAAGCUUCAGUCAUACGAGACCGUACCGCAAACCGACACAGGUGGGCGAGAUGAGUAUUCUAAGGCGCUUGAGAGAACUCGGGAGAAGGAACUCGGCAAAUUGGUACCGUAACUUCGGGAAAAGGUACGCCCCGGUAGCUUGAUUGGUUUACUCCAUGAGGGUGAAAGGGUUGCAAUAAACUGGUGGCUGCGACUGUUUAAUAAAAACACAGCACUCUGCAAACACGAAAGUGGACGUAUAGGGUGUGACGCCUGCCCGGUGCUGGAAGAUUAAAUGAUGGGGUGCAAGCUCUUGAUUGAAGUCCCAGUAAACGGCGGCCGUAACUAUAACGGUCCUAAGGUAGCGAAAUUCCUUGUCGGGUAAGUUCCGACCUGCACGAAUGGCGUAACGAUGGCCACACUGUCUCCUCCCGAGACUCAGCGAAGUUGAAAUGUUUGUGAUGAUGCAAUCUACCCGCGGCUAGACGGAAAGACCCCAUGAACCUUUACUGUAGCUUUGCAUUGGACUUUGAACCAAUCUGUGUAGGAUAGGUGGGAGGCUUUGAAGCGGGGACGCUAGUUCUCGUGGAGCCAACCUUGAAAUACCACCCUGGUUUGUUUGAGGUUCUAACCUUGGUCCGUUAUCCGGAUCGGGGACAGUGCAUGGUAGGCAGUUUGACUGGGGCGGUCUCCUCCUAAAGUGUAACGGAGGAGUUCGAAGGUACGCUAGAUACGGUCGGACAUCGUGUUGAUAGUGCAAUGGCAUAAGCGUGCUUAACUGCGAGACUGACAAGUCGAGCAGGUACGAAAGUAGGACAUAGUGAUCCGGUGGUUCUGUAUGGAAGGGCCAUCGCUCAACGGAUAAAAGGUACUCUGGGGAUAACAGGCUGAUUCCUCCCAAGAGUUCAUAUCGACGGGGGAGUUUGGCACCUCGAUGUCGGCUCAUCACAUCCUGGGGCUGUAGCCGGUCCCAAGGGUAUGGCUGUUCGCCAUUUAAAGUGGUACGUGAGCUGGGUUUAAAACGUCGUGAGACAGUUUGGUCCCUAUCUGCCGUGGGCGUUGGAAAUUUGAAGGGGGCUGCUCCUAGUACGAGAGGACCGGAGUGGACGAACCUCUGGUGUACCGGUUGUCACGCCAGUGGCAUUGCCGGGUAGCUAAGUUCGGAAGAGAUAACCGCUGAAAGCAUCUAAGCGGGAAACUUGCCUUGAGAUGAGAUUUCCCAGAGCCUUGAGCUCUUUGAAGGGUCGUUCGAGACCAGGACGUUGAUAGGCUGGGUGUGGAAGUGCAGUAAUGCAUUAAGCUAACCAGUACUAAUUGCCCGUACGGCUUGUCCCU